Molecule: non-coding RNA, 170 nt
Filed under: human gut metagenome
Description: Lysine riboswitch
Rfam family: Lysine riboswitch aptamer
About the family: Riboswitches are metabolite binding domains within certain messenger RNAs that serve as precision sensors for their corresponding targets.
Source: RNAcentral
AUAGAUAGAGGUGCAUUUACAUCAGUAUGCCGUAACAGGUGUGGGAGAGCCUAUGACUGCGGCAGAAAGGGAAAAAUGCCGAAGAUAAUAAGUCCUCUCAGGCUUAAUAUCUGGUUGCUGUGAUUAAUAGUCCGGUGACUGUCAUUGUUUUCGCAAUGGAGAGCUAUCUG